AAACCUUACCUUUCCUUGACAGGGUCGGAAUCCCGCAUAGAGGUGGGAGUGCUCGAAAGAGAACCGGGGCACAGGUGCUGCAUGGCUGUCGUCAGCUCGUGUCGUGAGAUGUUGGGUUAAGUCCCGGCACGAGCGCAACCCUUGUUCUCUAGUUGCUACGCAAGAGCACUCUAAGGAGACUGCCGGUGACAAACCGGAGGAAGGUGGGGAUGACGUCAAGUCCUCAUGGCCCUUAUGGGUAGGGCUUCACACGUCAUACAAUGGUCGGAACAGAGGGUUGCCAACUCGCGAGGGGGAGCUAAUCCCAGAAAACCGAUCGUAGUCCGGAUUGCACUCUGCAACUCGAGUGCAUGAAGCUGGAAUCGCUAGUAAUCGCGGAUCAGCAUUCUGCGGGAAUAAG
This 400-nucleotide ribosomal RNA is filed under the name Burkholderia sp. HP12. RNAcentral describes it as "bacterial SSU rRNA". It matches the Rfam family "Bacterial small subunit ribosomal RNA", at positions 966 to 1370 of the family's 1533-position model. RNAcentral also lists the same sequence under 1 other name. Lineage: Bacteria; Pseudomonadati; Pseudomonadota; Betaproteobacteria; Burkholderiales; Burkholderiaceae. The record is from RNAcentral.